GCUCCACUCCCUGUUAAUGUGUAGAGGCAGAGCAAAAGGGUUCUGGCCCUCCUGGCCGCAUGUGUUUGGUCCCAGCAGAUUCUGGUUCACCAGUUCUAUUCUUGAACACCAGGACACUU
Molecule: small nucleolar RNA, 119 nt
Organism: Jaculus jaculus (lesser Egyptian jerboa)
Lineage: Eukaryota; Metazoa; Chordata; Mammalia; Rodentia; Dipodidae
Source: Ensembl